This is a long non-coding RNA of Myripristis murdjan (pinecone soldierfish), 5201 nucleotides long. RefSeq lists it as uncharacterized. The transcript has 2 exons. The record is from RefSeq and is a predicted model, not a curated record. Lineage: Eukaryota; Metazoa; Chordata; Actinopteri; Holocentriformes; Holocentridae.
UACAACAGAAUAAGAUCUGAGUACAACAGAAUAAGAUCUAAGUACAACCCAGUGUGCAAAAAGCAAUGUGCAACAACAAAACAAAAAAAAUCUUGCUUCCAGAAACAAAUUGUAAAACAAGGGAAACUGCACGAGUGGGAUUAUUGCAUUCAAAAAACAUCCUCUGACGGGAAGUUUUCAUUUCCUAAGAAAGAAUGACCACCCAAAAUGUGACGUCACCAUCCUAGAGGAAAAACUUCAACAGAAAACAGAUCAUCACUGCGUCGCUCUUCAUCCUCCUCCUCUUCCUCAUCAGCAGGGGAAAGCCAGAUUCACUCUCGUUGUGGAGCGAGCUUUAUCCGCUCAGCGAUUCUUCUCACUACAUUUUCCUUUUUUUCUGCAUCUGCGAUUUUUGUAGCCUCCUAUUGGAUGUUGUGCUAUCAGGGUGGCGCCAAGCUGCGCUGUGAUUGGCUGGGAGCGACACACCCGCUGUCCCAAGGCCAACGCCCACAAGAGUCCCGAGCUCAAAACAAGAAAAACCAGGCAGAUGGCAGGGUCUCUGCAGACACACACACCAACACACACUGCCAGUGGCUCAUCAAUGAUGAUGGAGAGGGAUUAUUUUUGUAUGAGUCUAUACAUUGUGUUUAAGGAAAAUCCCACUCAUCCUGCCUUUAAGCCUCAAAUGACUUGUUAAGAUGGAGAUAUUUUGCAGUGCAGACACUGAGCGGUUCAGUUCUGUUUCAAUUCUGUUCAUCUCUCAGAUCGGCUGCCACCAAACAUGCAAAUCCUUAUAUGGCGUCAAGGCUGCACCAUAAAAGACUGUUUGCCGUGUUUUGUUUGGUUUCUUCGCUGCUCGCAGAAAACAAAACUUGUGUUGGCGGCACGAAUGCAAGGAGUUUCUGUUUCGAGCAUCUCUGUUGCUUGCAAAAACCAUGAAAUCAAACAUUUGAGUGUGUAAUCCUCACAUAAACAUGUUCUGACCGUGGAGCGUGUGGUCAGGAUUUGCAUAACGUCUCGACAGGCUUGCACAGGUUUGCCUUGGUUCUUCACUCUCUGUUACUUUAGGGUCAUUGGGUGGCCAAGUGCACUGCAAAAAAAAAAAAAAAUCUCCAUCUUAGUAAGUCAUUCAGUCUCAUAUUCAGUGUUAAAAAAUACUGGCAGCUGGGUGGGAUAAUCUCUGUAGUUUCACUUGUUUCAGUUUUUUUUUUUUCCUGGGAACAAGAAAAUAUGUUGAAUCAAGGCAGAAUACGGCAGAUUAGCCCACGAGGAUCAAGAAAAUGACCUGAUUAGGGAAAACUCUGUAAAACAAGUUUCAGAUAAUAUAUAAAUAAGAUUUUAAGACUGAAUAUGACUCGUUAUAAUGGAGUUUUUUUUUUUUUUCUUGUGGAAUGUCCUGCAGGUUCAUUCUGGCCUGCUGGAGGAAGUGCGAGGGAAAAUAGAUUUCCCCAGUGAGGAUCAGCAGAGUGUCACAGCAUCAUGAUCGUAUGUCAUUAUAACCCGAGCAGCUGCAGGAGCUUCCGCAUGUUAUGUCGCCCUCUAGUGUCCACAAGUGGAACGACAGGAGUGGCAAGGUGUGUUUAAACCAGAGGUGGCAGCAUGGCAAAAUGUUGUCAUGAAAGUUACAUUCCUCUGUUAGUUUAGCACACACACACACACACACACACACACACACGUCACAGCAGGCUCUUAUCAAAACACUUCUAGGAGACUGAUUUUCUCACCUUCACACACACACACUUGUUACCUGGACGUGUCACACACAACACGACGCGCCCCGUGUUAUUGCCUCGGCCAUUAUGGGUCAUCUGACACCGAGCUCUCAAACACCUGCGAGGGCUGUAGGGACAAUGCAGCAUUUAGCCUCGUUGUCAUGACGACCCCGCGGUUACAUAAGCGUCGGUUCCCAGAAACGGCGGCGUACAGAGGUCUUUGUGCUCUGACACUAGACACCACACACACUGCCCUGCCGUAAGCCACAUUCCUCCAGUCGGAGCGGCUUCGGCCCGACCUGUCAGGUGGGAAAGUGACGAGUGUGGCCGGCAACAGCAAAUCCCCUUUAACAAGCCAUUUAAUCUACCAGCGAGUCCUCAAAUAUUAUGUUUCCUCAGAUGAGGGAGGAAAGUCUGCCAGCCAGGAUGCGUGGCAGGUGGCAAUUUGCUUUUUGCAGUUCAAAACAGCUUGACUUUAUCUCAAUGCUGGGGGAGCGACUUGCCUUGAUUCACAAUGUUAUCACUUGAAAAUUAAUUAAAUGACUGAAACUACAUUGGAAAUAAGUGAAGUUAUGUCCGUUUUUUCCACUUGUUUCAAGAAAAAUUGGAUUUUAAGACAUGCAACAUUAAAGGUUUUGUGAAAGUAUAUAUCCACGACAUUUUUCAUAUAAAUAAAUGUGCAUUUUGGCACUUUCUAUCACCGGUUGAUAAAAUACAGCAGUAUUUCAACGUGUUUUCAGUUCCUGGAGGUUUAAUAUUUGCGGUUCUAAAUACUCAGUGGCUUCCUGCUGCACAGGAAAUGGUGCAUUUUAUAUUUCCGGUUUAUUUGGAAGAAGAACUGGGUAGUAAGCAUGAGCAGCCACAGCCACCGUAGCUGAACAGGCAAAGAAAAGAGAAACUCAAACUCCAUUAACAGGAAAUCUAAGUCCCACCUCAUUAUUUGAUUGACAGGUGAAAGGAGUGUUAGGAUUUUUUUUUUUUUUUUUUUUUUCAGUGUGUAUGGGUGUGUGAGAGGGACACUUCCACGUACACACACAGCAUUUGUUGUUGUGUUGUAAAUGUUGUAAAGGGCAGUCAGUAUGACAUUAUAGAUAAGGAUAAGUGGAAAUCAGUGUUGAGGCAAGGAGGGGUGUGUCCUUGUCCCAUCACAUGCACAACAGUGUGUGUCAUGUGUCCAUACACACCUGCAGGACAGGUACAGGUACAGCCCAGUCCGUUCAAUUGUAAAAUGACUGCUGACAGGCCGGGGAUGUUGGAGGAGCUAUUGUUAGGCCAAUUCAAUGGGGAGUUUGCACGCCUGUACACACACAAAUACAUAAACACAUAUAUAUGCACUGAGUCAUACGGGGCUGUCCGCACUGUCAUCAUGUGCUGCUUCUGUCUUUUUUUUUUUUUUUUUUUCCACAGGAUCCAUGGCAGUGAGGCUGUUAAAGCUGUGAGGGUCCAAACUUUGGUUUAGCCUAAAUCCGCCGGGUGUGCGCUGUAAUGCUGAUUCUGCUCGGCUGGAGGUGUCGAGUGAAUUUCACGUGCCAGCCGUCCGUGUCGCCGGGCUGCCAUGGCAACCGCGCUCACGUUAAAGACAGGCCUCGUCCUCGCAGAGAGCGCUGCCACGCUUCUCCUCCGUCUGACAGGAUGGCUCAUCCUCAUCCUGUUUGACAUGUACGGAGGAUGCCACCUGAAAGGGUAUGACUUUUUUAACCUUAUUUUGGGUGUUGUUGUCGUUGCUGUAUCGCUUUUUAAAUCGUGUUUUCUUCAAACUAGCCCUCUCAUCAUGCUGACUCCUAGUUAUCAGUGUUAGUCUUACUUUAUCUUGUUCUUUCCCCAUAAUUUUCCCUCAAGAAGCACCAUGGGUCCUGUUGUAAAUAAGGAUUCACUCUUAAUGAACUUGCUAAAAUAAUGGGUACAUUAAAAAAUACAGCCACUGUUAUCUUUUAUAUUCCUUUAAAUGACUCUCAAAUAAGUGUUAGUUCACCUCACCGCUGCAGCUGUGGUCCGACACCGAACGUCUUCCCCCAGAAGCUGGUUUCACAUGGUGGUUUAGAUUUGUGUUCCCAUUGUCUAGCACCAUUUGAAAUCAGUGUUCUUGGGGACAGGAGGACAGCUCUGGCAGUGAGUGAGCGACGAGAGUGUCUCCCUCCCUUCCUCUUCCACUUCCCCCUCCUCCACCUCCUCCUCCUCCUCUUCUCUUUCCCCAUUAAAAGAUGACUGAUUUCUUCUGGUGCUUAGAGCCCCCUGCAGCCUUCUAGCACCAUUUGAAAUCGGUUAUAAAACAUGGGAUUAAUGCGUCAGAGUCUUCCGCGAUGACCAUGAGGAAAAACGGCAGCUACCGGCUCCUCCUGUCCUGAAUCAAGCUGGACGGGAUCUUAUCGGGCUGUACAGGACGCCCGCUGAAGGCUGCUCCUGUAGACUGUGCAUGAAAAAUAGAUUUAUAUCCUGCACUGUUCAGUCAUCUGUCUGCCGUCUUUAUAUUGCAUCUAUAUUUUGUUUAUGUAUUUAUUCAUGUACGCCGCCUUUCCGUGCCAGGACUGGGGAUUAAAUCCCUAACUCCUGGCAGUGUUCGUGCCUCUUGAACUCCCCAAGGCCACAUGGGAAAGUGGAAAUAAGUGAUGUUUUUUACUGCCCCAAAGCACGAAAGGACCGUGAGCUGCAGGAGGUUGAUAGGGUUGUUCAUUAUUACCAAUAGCUCAAAGAAUACUUCCCCCAGCGCGAAGAUGUCUGGCUUUCAAAACUCACUUUCCAAUCUGUUUUAUUAUUCUGGUAUUUAGUAUGGUGAUAUAUUACUUUUCACCAGACAUUAGGGCUGGGUGAUAUAUCGAUAUUCUGUAAGUAGAAUGAUUUUAUGAACUGUUCUAGCUGUUCUGUUGUUUGCCUCUACUUGCUUGGGUUCACCAUAUCCACAUUAUUAAUGACUGUUUAUCACAAAUCUCUUGUGUGUACAGGAAAUGUCUUAUGAAAGCCCCAAUAAACAUCCCUACAAUAACGUUCCAAUGUCAAUUAUGAGUUAUUUAGUCAAAGAUCCUGGUUCCUCAUGGAUUUCAUCUCUAAUUAGCAAUUCCAGGACACUAUAAACACGUGGUCUGUAAUUUUCAAUGUUGCAGUUCCCACUGGUCACCACUAGAGGCUGAUUAACGGCACGGAUUGCCCCUUUAAGUUUAUGAAGUGGCUUUAAAGUGAAUGAACAGAAGCUUUAUGUAUUUUUAUGUAUUUUUUUAUAUGUAUUUGAUAUAUCUUUUUAUGUAUUUUCUUCCCUGUGAUGAAGUUAAAUUUCUCACUUGCCAUUGGUCAACAAACAACAUAGAACCAGACCAUGGUGCCGUGGAAGACCAAGACUUUGGAAAAACAGAUAUUUCUUUUUUUUUUAUAUGGAUUUUUUUUUAAUGGACUUUCAUCCAGACUCACCAUGGGUCUACACACAACACAAAACAAGACCAUGGAAACUCAGGAAAGAUCCUGUCCAGCAGACACACAGCAGAACCUGACUUUGUGGAGCUGAUAGCAUCAGAGGGAAGG